CUUUUUUUCAUACUAUACAUAAGUACGCGAAUCACAAAGAAGAGAGAAAACCACAAAGGCACUUAAAAAAAAAACAGAACUGCAGCCUAUUCCUUAAAAGUGUUUUGCUGUAGAAUGCUAAAGUCUUGAAUUUCAAUCAUGUGGAAAGUGAGUUUUUGGUUUGAAAAACAAGCCAAUCACAGCGCACUAAUGGCAAGUCUUACAUGAAUUGG
Non-coding RNA from Pelobates cultripes (western spadefoot toad), 212 nucleotides. The record is from the annotation of a GenBank genome assembly. NCBI's taxonomy places the organism in Eukaryota, Metazoa, Chordata, Amphibia, Anura, Pelobatidae.